This 396-nucleotide ribosomal RNA is filed under the name uncultured bacterium. Its description in RNAcentral is "partial 16S ribosomal RNA". It matches the Rfam family "Bacterial small subunit ribosomal RNA", at positions 523 to 918 of the family's 1533-position model. The record is from RNAcentral.
AUACGUAGGGGCUAGCGUUGUCCGGAAUGAUUGGGCGUAAAGGGCGCGUAGGCGGCCCGGUAAGUCUGGAGUGAAAGUCCUGCUUUUAAGGUGGGAAUUGCUUUGGAUACUGUCGGGCUUGAGUGCAGGAGAGGGAAGUGGCAUUCCCAGUGUAGCGGUGAACUGCGUAGAGAUUGGGAGGAACACCAGUGGCGAAGGCGACUUACUGGACUGUAACUGACGCUGAGGCGCGAAAGUGUGGGGAGCAAACAGGAUUAGAUACCCUGGUAGUCCACACUGUAAACGAUGAAUGCUAGGUGUAGGGGGUAUCGACCCCUUCUGUGCCGCAGGUAACACAAUAAGCAUUCCGCCUGGGGAGUACGGUCGCAAGGUUGAAACUCAAAGGAAUUGACGGGG